RNA transcript from Oncorhynchus nerka (sockeye salmon), 2388 nucleotides. It is a transcript of the gene named free fatty acid receptor 2-like, with no coding region annotated. Lineage: Eukaryota; Metazoa; Chordata; Actinopteri; Salmoniformes; Salmonidae. The record is from RefSeq and is a predicted model, not a curated record. The transcript has 2 exons.
CCCACCCUUCAAAAAAGGAACAUGUGCAACUUCUUUCCUGUUUAGUACGUGACAUGAAGUACGUUACAUUGAGACAUUACCAUUAAAAGCACCGUUUAUUUGAAGCCAAGCGUUUACUCAGCAUUUGACCAGGGGACGUUUGUGUGCGUGUUUGCUGACUAAGACCAAAACGCAUCCGCUAGACAGCCUUUUUAUCAGUCGAGGGUUAACAACACCUUGACGACUCCCCAGCAACAUCAGAUAAACUGAUAAAAGCCGGCUACCUCCUUCCUGCACGUGUAUGUCUUGGCACCAUUCCCUAGAUGACUGAGGUGUGUUUUGAACAUCUGAAGCCAUGUUUCUUCUCUUGUUUAUUGUAAUUUAGGUACCAUAUACCCUUUUGGAGAACUUAGGCUUCACAUGACCCAGUUUUGAAUAAUUAUACCCUUCCUCCAAGGGUGCGUUUUAGCACAAAUUGAUUGCAAAAUUAGUAAGUGUUGAGUCAGUGUUGGGAAAGAAAAUGAGAAGUAGAUGAUCGUGUUGAUGUUUGUGUUAAUCAGUAUCGCCCAAGGAAUAGAAAAAUAGGAUCCAGUUCUCACAAGUCAUUGGGCUCCCGAGUGGUGCAGUGGUCUACGGCACUGCAUCUCAGUGCAAGAGGCAUCACUACAGUCCCUGGUUUGAUUCCAGGCUGUAUCACAUCCGACCGUGAUUGGGAGUCCCAUAGGGCGGCUCACAAUUGGCCCAGUGCCGUCCGGGAUAGGCCGUCAUUGUAAAUAAGAUUUUGUUCUUAACUGAUUUGCCUAGUUAAAUAAAGGUUGCAUUUAAAAAAUACUGACCAAUGGAAAUGUAUGAAGUGUAAAGAGCUUAUGAGCUGAUUAGGUUGAUAUUUGUGCACAUGUAGAUGUAGCCUACACCUGACACACUAAAGUAAAUGUAGCCUAGAUUAACUUGACAAUAUCUACAAUUCAAUUUUAAUUAGAUGCUAUCAAUAUCUGAAAUGUGUUCCCAAAUCCAACUCAUUUAAAAAAAUAUCAACACCUGGGGACACAUGAACAUACACCUUAAAAUGCUGCACUCAACAUUUCAAAACCAUAACGGUCGCAUUAAUGACCAUAACAGAAAUAGUACAAACGUUAAUAGUGUCUGAGACCUCUUUCCAGUAUUCACGCGAUGGUCAUCUGUUCAAAUCCAAUGCACAAUUCAGGCUUUAUAAAUGACACCUGAAGUUGUGUUCUGUUGUCCAGCUGCCUGUCACUGUAGUAGACAGUCAGAAGGAGUGGCGCUGCUGUUUGCAAGACACAGACAUUUCCUUCACUGAAUAAGCAUCAACCCCCAAGCGCUAGCCUCCCUCUGUAAUAUCAAAUGAUCAUCAGAUUUUUUUAAACUCAAAUUUACUAGUGAGAUACAUCAAGCUUCACAAGGAGGGCAACAUCCACUGAUUCCUUUAAAUGUAUACAAAUAUAUAAUCCAGUGGCUAGUAAAUUACACACAAAGCUAUAGCCCCUUGCAAUAUUUAUCUUUAUUUAUAUUUUUCUAUAAAUGUUUUAUGUCAAAGGAAUACAAGUCAACAGUAAUUCGACCAGAGAUUAAAAUCCACAAAUGUAAUGAAAUAGUCAAGUAUUAAGUAUUUUUUUUUACAACGAGUUCCAGGGGCAAUCCCCUGGGGCAAUACCUGUUCAAGACACCUGUGGCUGAUGGUAAUUACACAUGCAGAGGUCAUCCUUCAUAACACUGCUAGCCCCAAAAUAUUUGACUGUAAGGGUUUAUAAGGGAACCAAAUAAACCUUACUCUGUAGAAAUUAAAAUCAUUCUUCAAAUACCAUCCUCAUGGCUUACCAGCCACUGAACACUUGUGUCAUGAUGGGAGUAUUAUGUUGUUAGUUUGCUCCACCAUGAAUAGAAGGAAGCUUAGGGGUUCAUGCGUGCGCUGGAUAUUAACACUGGGAUUAGCCGAGAGGCAUCUGGAAAACUCGAGGCUGGGAAGCACAAACAGACUGCUCCCUUUUAUUGUUGUGAUGGGUACCUUGUUUGCCACAAUUAAUGGCUUCACUCCAAAGCAUGCCACUGUGCCUACAUCGGCAUGGUCUUCCUAGUUUGGAAAGGGGGGAAGGGUUUGCUAACAAGUCCCCUGCUUGAGGACCAUUAUGACAUUGACGUUUGUCUACUGUAGAGAGUCCAACCAUAGACAUGCCAUAGACUCAAAGAAACUCUUGUUAGACAGAAUGACAUGGCUUUGUUAACCAACUGCAUCACAGCUAUCCUUGUGACUGAAUUCAGCCUUCGUGUGUAAUUUUGCAUACAAACUAGUGACACCGCCUCUAUUUUUAUUUUAUUGCUUCACACCUUCACUGACUAACUCUGCAUAUCCUGAAAUGACCCCAGAUUGAGUACCUGCAUUAGCUAACACAA